Molecule: long non-coding RNA, 1165 nt
Organism: Lagopus muta (rock ptarmigan)
Lineage: Eukaryota; Metazoa; Chordata; Aves; Galliformes; Phasianidae
Exons: 3
Source: RefSeq, a predicted model, not a curated record
UAGGAGUCAAGAGCUGUUAAUCAAAAUUUUAUGUCUCUGACUACCACCCAUCUGCACAACUGACAUGCAGGCAGACUGCCUGGAUUUGCUUGGCAAGAUAAUAACUGACAUUUCUAUACUCCUUUGGCAAUUGGAGUAAUCUGCAGUGGUAAAUACUCAGCUUGAUUGGAACGCCAUUAGAAGCUGCUCAUCACUUACAUGCAAAAGUUAGCUUGCUCUCUCCUAAUAGAAGCUCCCUGCUGCUGAGACAUUUUGACUGGUAACGGGUCUGAGCCUUCACAUCCCACUGCCCUGCUGUGAUGCCUGUGCUGUUCUGCUGCAUUGCUGGAGAAAUCACAGUGCAAACUGUUGCCAUUCACAAUGGAGUGGAGGAAAGGUCCAGUUCAUUUAGAAACCUCUGACUAUACGAAGACCAUGCUAAUGAUGGAAUAAGAAACUAUGUUGCAGUGUAUAUGAACAGGGUGCUCCAGCAGUCUAGUAUAAGACUGUUGGUCAUCUUUAACUGUAUCUGUAUAGUUCUAUUGAUUGAUGAAGUCUGAAAUAUUAUUAAUUGUAGUUUCUAGGCACAGAAUCAUUUCACAAGAGAACUUGAGGGUCAGUGUAGGUGAGCAGUGAAUUUAAAUUGGCUAGUGCUUCAUUAAUUUUCAUUGUUGUACAUUUAUAAAUACUUAUUUUGAGAUGUAAAUGUGAAGAGGGAAAUCUAAUAUGUCAUGCAUAGGACUGACAUUUUUUAAAAAUGGAUUUUUAAUUUAAGCAUCCUCUUAUGAAUAUAGGAACCUGAAGCAUAACAGAUAGGGACUAUUCAACCUAGAUACUGCAGAUUAAACAAUCUGAAGUGUGAAUGUUGGAUCAUUAAAGAGAAACAUAGUGCAUUAGUGAUUAUAUUCAUUGGUAGUUAUUAUUGAAAUUUGUUUUGUUGUCUGAUAGUGAUUGGGUAAUUACUUUAGAGUCAAUGAAUUCACAGUAAUUAGAUACUGAAUAUAAAAGUAACCACGGGAAAUGAAUAAAGACUAGCUGUCUGACUUUAAUUGGUAAUUAUUAAUUAUUAACAUUUCUGGAUAUUAGAUUUUCUCAAAGGCAAGCGAGGAAAUUUAUUCUACUCUGGUAAUUUGUCUACUUGCUGCCCUCAGCAUUGUACUUUGGAAUUGAAAUCCCAUGUUUUUAA